This 253-nucleotide ribosomal RNA is filed under the name uncultured bacterium. Its description in RNAcentral is "partial 16S ribosomal RNA". It matches the Rfam family "Bacterial small subunit ribosomal RNA", at positions 524 to 776 of the family's 1533-position model. The record is from RNAcentral.
UACGUAGGGGGCUAGCGUUGUCCGGAUUUAUUGGGCGUAAAGAGCGCGUAGGCGGCCGAGUAAGUCCGACGUGAAAUCUGGAGGCUCAACCUCCAGCGGUCGUUGGAAACUACUCGGCUAGAGUCCGGAAGAGGAGAGUGGAAUUCCUGGUGUAGCGGUGAAAUGCGCAGAUAUCAGGAAGAACACCGAUGGCGAAAGCAGCUCUCUGGGACGGUACUGACGCUGAGACGCGAAAGCGUGGGGAGCAAACAGG